RNAcentral lists this ribosomal RNA (838 nucleotides) under uncultured haloarchaeon. RNAcentral describes it as "bacterial SSU rRNA". It matches the Rfam family "Archaeal small subunit ribosomal RNA", at positions 1 to 846 of the family's 1478-position model. The record is from RNAcentral. Lineage: Archaea; Methanobacteriati; Methanobacteriota; Halobacteria; Halobacteriales; Halobacteriaceae.
UUCCGGUUGAUCCCGCCAGAGGCCAUUGCUAUCGGUGUCCGAUCUAGCCAUGCGAGUUGUACGUCUAACGUAGCAAACCGCUCAGUAACACGUGGCCAAACUACCCUACGGAUCGGGAUAACCUCGGGAAACUGAGGCUAAUCCCGAAUAGCGCUCCCGAGCUGGAAUGCUGGGAGCGCCGAACGCUCCGGCGCCGUAGGAUGUGGCUGCGGCCGAUUAGGUAGAUGGUGGGGUAACGGCCCACCAUGCCGAUAAUCGGUACGGGUUGUGAGAGCAAGAGCCCGGAGACGGACUCUGAGACAAGAGUCCGGGCCCUACGGGGCGCAGCAGGCGCGAAACCUUUACACUGCACGCAAGUGCGAUAGGGGGACACCGAGUGCGAGGGCAUAGAGCCCUCGCUUUUCUGUACCGUAAGGCGGUACAGGAACAAGGGCUGGGCAAGACCGGUGCCAGCCGCCGCGGUAACACCGGCAGCCCAAGUGAUGGCCGAUCUUAUUGGGCCUAAAGCGUCCGUAGCUUGCCGAGUAAGUUCGUCGGGAAAUCUACUGGCUUAACCAGUAGGCGUCCGGCGAAAACUGCUCGGCUUGGGACCGGGAGACCAGAGGGGUACGUCCGGGGUAGGAGUGAAAUCCUGUAAUCCUGGACGGACCACCGGUGGCGAAAGCGCCUCUGGAGAACGGAUCCGACAGUGAGGGACGAAAGCUAGGGUCUCGAACCGGAUUAGAUACCCGGGUAGUCCUAGCUGUAAACGAUGCUCGCUAGGUGUGGCGCAGGCUACGAGCCUGCGCUGUGCCGUAGGGAAGCCGUGAAGCGAGCCGCCUGGGAAGUACGUCUGCAA